GGGAGGGCGGGCUCGCCGGGUAGAAGUGACUUGAAGAAAGAGCGAGAAGUAUAGAAGGGCGCAGGCGCUAGUUCAGUGCUCGUGAGCAAACACCGUCUACAAGAUUCGAGUCAAACAACGUGAGAACUUGAAAUACGUCUCCAUUCUUUUUCCUUAGUACUCUCGUUCAUUCACUUACGACUUAGAAGCAACUUGAGGCAGUAUGGGAGCAUAAAAGACAGCCAGGAUGCCAAAGUCUCCGAGCAGUGAGUAGGAGUCUAAGAAGUUGGAAAGAUUCAUGGACCUCUUCCAGUAUGUGAAAGCCACAACUGUGGAGCAAAUGGGAAAGCAGCAAUGUGAGAACAGAUUAAUACACAGAGCAUCCAGAGAGAAAUACCCAGCAAUCAGUUGGAGCUGAAAGGCCCAAGAAGGAGAGGGAAUAGAAGGAUGACAUGCAUAUUUGGAUGAAAUUCACAUAUAGGAGGAAUCCAAAAAAGUGUCCGUAGAGAUAAAAAGGUUCUAGAGGUUGCCUGCAUUCCUUGACUCCUGAAUCUCUAUCACCUUCAGAGCCAGAUAUUUCCUGCUGAGUCUUUCUGAGGCUGCAUCACCCUGACCCUGACUCUUCCAUCUCCAUCCUUCAUGCUUAAAGGAUCCUGGUGAUUACAUUGGACCCUCCCGUACAAUCUAGGAUACAUUUUUAACCUUAAGGUCUUCAAGGGAUCACCACACUGUCUUCCACAAUGGUUGAACUAAUUUUCACCCCCACCAAUGAUGCUACCAUUGAAUUUAAUUAUGAUGCUGUCUUCAACAUGGAAGUUACAUAAGAAAAUCUGAAGCCAUUGUGUAUUUCAGCUAGGCUUCUUCUUAGGAAAUAGAGGUCAGCCUAGUGCAGUGAAGUCUGAUUGGAGGUGGACAAUGAGGAUCCUGCCAAGGUGCUGUCCUUAGCUUCUGUUCAGCCUAAUGUAAGUUCAUUCCUUUUGAUUACAGUCAUUUCAAUGACUUUUUUUGCCCAUAAAAUUAUGACCACAUAAUUCUUAUAGACUCUUCUAGCUUUUCAAUGUUGGGGAAGAAAGCUCGCCUAAUAAGCAACUUUUCAACCUCAGAAGCUUAAGUAUUAUGAAGCAAUAAGACCCAAGAUUUGAUGAAAGAAAAGCCAGAAUUUAGUAUGGCUGAAGAUAGGUGGGGAUACAGACCA
This 1174-nucleotide long non-coding RNA is filed under the name Homo sapiens (human). Its description in RNAcentral is "HSALNT0366932". The record is from RNAcentral. Lineage: Eukaryota; Metazoa; Chordata; Mammalia; Primates; Hominidae.